CUCAUACUCCCUCCAUCCCAAAAUUCUUGUCUUAGCUUUGUCUAGAAAUGAAUGUACCUAAAUACUAAAACUUGACUAGAUACAUUCGUAUCUAAACAAAUCUAAGACAANNNUUUUGGGACGGAGGGAGUAGUUA
Hordeum vulgare subsp. vulgare (domesticated barley) is the source of this 136-nucleotide non-coding RNA. Lineage: Eukaryota; Viridiplantae; Streptophyta; Magnoliopsida; Poales; Poaceae. The record is from Rfam.